RNAcentral lists this long non-coding RNA (596 nucleotides) under Erythranthe guttata (spotted monkey flower). Its description in RNAcentral is "long non-coding RNA (EGUT_LNC003086)". Lineage: Eukaryota; Viridiplantae; Streptophyta; Magnoliopsida; Lamiales; Phrymaceae. The record is from RNAcentral.
GAACAUGUUCAAUUGUCUAAAUCGGAGAUUAUACGAAUGAGUUAUGAUGAAAACAUGAAAGGGUGCCGGAACUGCCAAUGCACCUUUUCAUGUAACAUGGAACCGUUCGUGACCAAUGCAACUCAAUGCACGAAAAUUUUGGUGAAAGAAGAUUAAAUCCAAGAAAAAUGAUGGAAUCAUACCCCAAAUAGAUGAGGUAUUAUAUUAUUCUCGAUUCAUGAAUAUUAUUUAAUAUUUUAUGGUUCCAUUGUAGGUGCAUUUUUACACAGCACACAUGCUUCAACUUGGAGGCUUAAUUUGAUCACGAUCCAGUUCGAAUCUAGAAAAAUGUAGAAGACAAAAGUUGUAGGAAAUUUUGUUGGCUAUUCGGAUCAUAUUGAAUCAACAAAAUUGGACAUCCGAUGCUAAAUAUAUGAAUAUAGUCGCCAUUGCUGCCAAAACUGCAUAAAGCAUUCCUUUAUGAGAGAAUUUAGAUGCGCGAUGAAUUUAUCAUUUGAUCGGUUACGCCUUUUUAUUUAAUUUUUUGUAUCGUGAAUUAGGUGGUAAUAUUAUAUAUAUUAGAUAUAAAUAUGAUUAUAUAUGAUAAGGUUAUGGCG